RNAcentral lists this long non-coding RNA (1715 nucleotides) under Danio rerio (zebrafish). RNAcentral describes it as "lncRNA (ENSDARG00000117512.1)". Lineage: Eukaryota; Metazoa; Chordata; Actinopteri; Cypriniformes; Danionidae. The record is from RNAcentral.
GCUUUUGACUUCACGACAUUAGUUUUCCUCUUGUGGUGUGAUUAUAAAGCCUGUUUGUUAUCGGCCAUAGAAAUCAGAUUGCAUUAUUUUCUGGCUGAGAUCUUGUGUAUUUCAGAAAUUGCAGGAGUCCUGGGUGACCUCUCUGAUUCCAGCUGUUGUUCAGAUAUUGCAGAAGACCUGGACGACGUCUCUGAUUCCAGCUCUUGUUCAGAACAAGAAGACGGUGAGAAAUCUGAAGCGGUGUCUGAUGAGUCUCCGACCACAAAAGAAGGCAAAGGGGAACCAAGAUCUGAUCAAUCAAGUGAUCCUGCACAGGUCCCUGAUAAAGAGAAAGCACGCCGUCGAAAGGGUUCAAAAAAGAAACAACCAGAAGCAGACCAUGAUGAAGAUAAGGACGAAGAAGAUGAGGACGAUGAUGAUGACAGUGAUCAUGAUAGAGUGGUGUAUAUUGGAGAUAAUCAGGAUGAGGCCAAUGCAGCCAAAUGUAAAGAAGAGGAGAUGCGCGCUGAGGAAGAGAACCAAAAACAGUGGAAGAUGGCGAAGAAGGUGAUGCUGGGAGCUGGUGUGGCAGCAGUAGUGGUGGGUGGUGCGGGUUUAGCGGUGGCUACAGGAGGAAUGUCCAUACUCGCCAAGCUUGCACUUGCUGCAGGUAUAGGUGCAGCAAAACAAUACAGAAACAAGAGCAUUAAAAAAGCGAAAGAAAAAGAGAAAGAAAAAGAGAAAGAAAAAGAAAAGGAGAAAAAAUGAAAAAAAAUUUAUUACUGUAAACAUUUACUGCAGUAAAUUUUGAACAACUGGGAAAUAGGACAUACUAGUUUUAUGUAUGACAUGGUUUAAUUUGACCACAUACAGUUGAAGUCUGAAUUAUUAGCCUCCCUGUAUUAUUAACCCCCCCUGAUUAUUUUUUUGCCCUAUUUCUGUUAAACGGGGAGCAGAUUUUUCAACACAUUUCUAAUCAUAAUAGCUUUAAUAACUCAUCUCUGAUAACUGAUUUAUUUUCUCUUUGCCAUGAUGACAGUAAAUAAUAUUUGACUAGAUGUUUUUCAAGACACUUCUAUACAGCUUACAGUGACAUUUAAAGGCUUAACCAGGUUAAUUAGGUUAACAGGCAAGUUAUUGUCUAAAAAAUGGCUUGUUAUGUAGACUAUCGAACAAAUAUUAAAAGGGCUAAUAAUUUGACCUUAAAAUAAAAAAAAAAGUAAAACUUCUUUUAUUCUUGCCGAAUUAAAACAAAUAAAACUUUCUCCAGAAGAAAAAAUAUUAUCAGACAUACUGUGAAAAUUUUCUUGCUCUGUUAAGCAUCAUUUGGAAAAUGUAUUUAAAAAAGAGGAAACAAUUUAAAGUGGGGCAAAUAAUUCUGACUUCAACUGUACAUCAUGUUGAAUUACACGUAUAUGAAUGCUCUGUGUGUACGAAACACAAAAAGCUUUUAGUUUUGAUAAUAUUGUGGUGGUUUCCUGAACAGAGACUAGUUUGUGUCCGCUUUAAACACAGUAUAUAUGUGUGUUGUAUGUGUUUUUUUAAUUCAGCUGUCUCAUAACAGAUCAAAGCAUAUGGCUGUUUUUAAUUUGUCACAUUCAGCACUGGUUAGGUUGUAUUCAUUUCUGCUUUAUGUACAGUAACAUGAGGUGGUAGUUCUGAUUCUUCUCUGUCUCCACAACAAUGUUGAUCCAUAUUAUUUGUUUCAAUUAAAAAUAUAUAUUAAACAGCAGCAA